Molecule: ribosomal RNA, 440 nt
Filed under: uncultured bacterium
Lineage: Bacteria
Description: partial 16S ribosomal RNA
Rfam family: Bacterial small subunit ribosomal RNA
Source: RNAcentral
CCUACGGGAGACAGCAGUGGGGAAUAUUGCACAAUGGGGGAAACCCUGAUGCAGCGACGCCGCGUGAGUGAAGAAGUAUUUCGGUACGUAAAGCUCUAUCAGCAGGGAAGAAAAUGACGGUACCUGACUAAGAAGCCCCGGCUAACUACGUGCCAGCAGCCGCGGUAAUACGUAGGGGGCAAGCGUUAUCCGGAUUUACUGGGUGUAAAGGGAGCGUAGACGGCAGCGCAAGUCUGGAGUGAAAUCCCAUGGCUUAACCAUGGAACUGCUUUGGAAACUGUGCAGCUAGAGUGCAGGAGAGGUAAGCGGAAUUCCUAGUGUAGCGGUGAAAUGCGUAGAUAUUAGGAGGAACACCAGUGGCGAAGGCGGCUUACUGGACUGUAACUGACGUUGAGGCUCAAAAGCGUGGGGAGCAAACAGGAUUAGAUACCCUUGUAGUC